This 403-nucleotide ribosomal RNA is filed under the name bacterium. Its description in RNAcentral is "partial 16S ribosomal RNA". It matches the Rfam family "Bacterial small subunit ribosomal RNA", at positions 355 to 776 of the family's 1533-position model. The record is from RNAcentral.
UGGGGAAUAUUGCACAAUGGAGGGAACUCUGAUGCAGCGACGCCGCGUGAACGAAGAAGGCUUUCGAGUCGUAAAGUUCUUUUAUAUGGGAAGAUAAUGACGGUACCAUAAGAAAAAGCCCCGGCUAACUACGUGCCAGCAGCCGCGGUAAUACGUAGGGGGCUAGCGUUGUCCGGAAUCACUGGGCGUAAAGGGUUCGCAGGCGGAAAUGCAAGUCAGGUGUAAAAGGCAGUAGCUUAACUACUGUAAGCAUUUGAAACUGCAUAUCUUGAGAAGAGUAGAGGUAAGUGGAAUUUUUAGUGUAGCGGUGAAAUGCGUAGAUAUUAAAAAGAAUACCGGUGGCGAAGGCGACUUACUGGGCCCAUUCUGACGCUGAGGAACGAAAGCGUGGGUGGCAAACAGG